CUAUCAAUCUUAAAACUCUCUCUCUAUUCUAUUUCGCAACCACUGUAUCCCAGAGUUUCUCUACAAACUCUUCCAAGAUCACAGUAAAGCUUCUUCUUGAUGAGCCCUCUCAACAAUGAAGAUAACUACCAGUUUCACUACUGGAUUUUUCUCAGUUCUUUCUUUACAAAAUCUUUGUUACAGAAAAUAUAAAAGAUAUA
Molecule: long non-coding RNA, 200 nt
Filed under: Cicer arietinum (chickpea)
Lineage: Eukaryota; Viridiplantae; Streptophyta; Magnoliopsida; Fabales; Fabaceae
Description: long non-coding RNA (CARI_LNC002981)
Source: RNAcentral